RNAcentral lists this ribosomal RNA (333 nucleotides) under Triticum aestivum (bread wheat). RNAcentral's name for it is "partial small subunit ribosomal RNA". The record is from RNAcentral. Lineage: Eukaryota; Viridiplantae; Streptophyta; Magnoliopsida; Poales; Poaceae.
AUGGUGUACAAGUUACUCAACGAUUCAUAUGGGUUGGCCGACGGCUACUACGGACUAGAAUUGCCAAUCCAGAAGGCAUCAGUGAGCGUUGGAGGCUCCCACCAAACCCGCAAGGUCUGCCUCCAACCUAACCCACAAAGAAGCAUGCGACGGAACUGUCAUGCAACGCUUCCUUGCAAAAGAGCUGAUGGUUGGAUGGAGCUGGAGCUGGGCAAGUUUGUUUGCGAGGGGCAUGAAGAUGGGGACGUGUCCUUCGGUCUGUCAGAGAUGAAAGAUUUGAGAAGGAAGAACAGUCUUAUCGUGCAGAGUAUUGAGAUUAGGCAUAAGAUUUGA